GCAGGGUAGCUACGUUCGGAAGGGAUAAGUGCUGAAAGCAUCUAAGCACGAAGCCCACCUCAAGAUGAGAUUUCCUUUAAGGGUCGUUGGAGACUACGACGUUGAUAGGCUGCAGGUGUAAAGGCGGUGACGCCAAAGCCGAGCAGUACUAAUGGCCCGACGACUUCCAGCC
Molecule: ribosomal RNA, 172 nt
Filed under: Bacteroidales bacterium
Lineage: Bacteria; Pseudomonadati; Bacteroidota; Bacteroidia; Bacteroidales
Description: partial 23S ribosomal RNA
Rfam family: Bacterial large subunit ribosomal RNA
Source: RNAcentral